RNAcentral lists this ribosomal RNA (881 nucleotides) under uncultured bacterium. RNAcentral's name for it is "bacterial SSU rRNA". It matches the Rfam family "Bacterial small subunit ribosomal RNA", at positions 8 to 933 of the family's 1533-position model. The record is from RNAcentral.
AGAGUUUGAUCCUGGCUCAGGAUGAACGCUGGCGGUAUGCCUAACACAUGCAAGUUGAACGAAAGCUUUGGCUUUAGUAGCGGACGGGUGAGUAACGCAUGAGAAUCUGCAUUUAGGAGGGGAAUAACAAUUGGAAACGAUUGCUAAUGCCCCAUAUGCUUUAGAGUGAAAUGAUUUUUCGCCUGAAUAUGAGCUCAUGUCUGAUUAGCUAGUUGGUAGGGUAAAGGCCUACCAAGGCGACGAUCAGUAGCUGGUUUGAGAGGAUGAUCAGCCACACUGGAACUGAGACACGGUCCAGACUUCUACGGAAGGCAGCAGUGGGGAAUUUUCCGCAAUGGGCGAAAGCCUGACGGAGCAAUACCGCGUGAGGGAUGAAUGCCUAUGGGUUGUAAACCUCUUUUAUUGGGGAAGAAUAAUGACGGUACCCAAUGAAUAAGCAUCGGCUAACUCCGUGCCAGCAGCCGCGGUAAUACGGGGGAUGCAAGCGUUAUCCGGAAUCAUUGGGCGUAAAGAGUCUGUAGGUUGCUAGAUAAGUCUGCUGUUAAAUAUUAGAGCUCAACUUUAAGCAAGCAGUAGAAACUAUCAGGCUAGAGUAUGUUAGGGGUAGAGGGAAUUCCCAGUGUAGCGGUGAAAUGCGUAGAUAUUGGGAAGAACACCAGAAGCGAAAGCGCUCUACUGGGACAUAACUGACACUGAGAGACGAAAGCUAGGGGAGCAAAUGGGAUUAGAUACCCCAGUAGUCCUAGCCGUAAACGAUGGAUACUAGAUGUUGUACGUAUCGAUCCGUGCAGUAUCGUAGCUAACGCGUUAAGUAUCCCGCCUGGGAAGUACGCUCGCAAGGGUGAAACUCAAAGGAAUUGACGGGGGCCCGCACAAGCGGU